GACGAACGCUGGCGGCGUGCUUAACACAUGCAAGUCGAACGGUGAAGCGCCUUCCUUUUUGGUGGGUGUGGAUGAGUGGCGAACGGGUGAGUAACACGUGAGUAACCUGCCCCCUUCUUCUGGAUAACCGCAUGAAAGUGUGGCUAAUACGGGAUAUUCUGGGUCUGUCGCUGGAUGGGUCUGGGAAAGAUAUUGUUUCGGUGGGGGAUGGGCUCGCGGCCUAUCAGCUUGUUGUUGGGGUGAUGGCCUACCAAGGCGGUGACGGGUAGCCGGCCUGAGAGGGUGGACGGUCACACUGGGAGUGAGACACGGACCAGACUCGUACGAGAGGCAGCAGUGGGGAAUAUUGCACAAUGGGCGCAAGCCUGAUGCAGCGACGCCGCGUGAGUGAUGGAGGCCUUCGGGUUGUGAACCUCUUUCGACAGUGAAGCAGGCCUGCCUCGUUUGUGGGUGGGUUGACGGUAGCUGGAUAAGAAGCGCCGGCUAACUACGUG
This 494-nucleotide ribosomal RNA is filed under the name uncultured bacterium. RNAcentral's name for it is "partial 16S ribosomal RNA". It matches the Rfam family "Bacterial small subunit ribosomal RNA", at positions 28 to 507 of the family's 1533-position model. The record is from RNAcentral.